RNAcentral lists this ribosomal RNA (253 nucleotides) under uncultured bacterium. RNAcentral's name for it is "partial 16S ribosomal RNA". It matches the Rfam family "Bacterial small subunit ribosomal RNA", at positions 524 to 776 of the family's 1533-position model. The record is from RNAcentral.
UACGUAGGGUGCAAGCGUUGUCCGGAAUUAUUGGGCGUAAAGAGCUCGUAGGCGGUCUGUCGCGUCUGCUGUGAAAACUCGGGGCUUAACCCCGGGCCUGCAGUGGGUACGGGCAGACUAGAGUGCGGUAGGGGAGACUGGAAUUCCUGGUGUAGCGGUGAAAUGCGCAGAUAUCAGGAGGAACACCGGUGGCAAAGGCGGGUCUCUGGGCCGUAACUGACGCUGAGGAGCGAAAGCAUGGGGAGCGAACAGG